This 945-nucleotide long non-coding RNA is filed under the name Medicago truncatula (barrel medic). RNAcentral's name for it is "long non-coding RNA (MTRU_LNC006354)". Lineage: Eukaryota; Viridiplantae; Streptophyta; Magnoliopsida; Fabales; Fabaceae. The record is from RNAcentral.
UGAAAACUAAUUCCUUUGUUUCAUGCAGCAUUGGAAUCUAAAAUUACGUCAUUUGAGAUGCCUAAAGUAAGUAGCGUAGACUAUCAAAAGCGUUGAAUGUGUGGAAGACUGUAUAAAUGUGCUUCAGAAAUUGGAAUUAGCUAGCUAACUCCUCCAUGAACAUAUAGAACUUAUCUUUAACAUAAAUUUCACUUUUUCUCCCUACAAAGCUCAUAAUGAUCAAUACACGUCCCAAAAUCCUGCUAAUUCUUAGCAACAUCAGUCAAUUGCAAUAAAAAACUAUUAAUAGGACCCUACUUACACAUUCAGUCAGACAUAGGACAAUUGAUUGUAUUAGCAAAGUACCUUAGUGAGAAUACAUUACCAUACCAUUGCUACCGAAUGCCCCUUUAGCAUAACCGUCGCUUGAACCUCUCAAUAUAACACAUUGUGUGGCUGCUGUAGGAGAAACAAUAAUCAAAGGGUACAUAGACUUGUGCUCUACUUAAACUUUUCAUUAGGCUUCUCUGAAAAUUUGAGCAACUAAUUUCUGAAAAGUAACAAAGAAAUGGCUAAGAAAGUUAUACUUACUGAGUAUUUAAUCGAAACAAACUAAAAAAGAACAUUAAAACCUUUAAAAUAAAAUGCAUUUGUUCUAUUUUUGAAAUGUGUUGUUCUCUUAAGAUUUAAAUCACAGAGUUAAACAAAUUUACAUAACAUUGCUUUUCAAGUUUCAGGAAUCACUUUAGCAGCCACAUUUGAAAGUAUAUAUCUAGCAAACCAAGCAAAAGCAAAAUUAAAGAUAGAAGAAGAAUAAGAAGCCAUCUAAAGAAAAAACAACCCAAUGCAAAAAUCACCAAAAUCAUGUAAAAAAAGAAGAGAUAAAAAUCAAUUGAAAGCAAAAUAGAUCUACACACAUCAAUAUAGAUAUUUUUGUCCUAAACAAACAAUUCAAUUCGAGUCCAC